AGAGUUUGAUCCUGGCUCAGAAUCAACGCUGGCGGCGUGCCUAACACAUGCAAGUCGAGCGAGAAAAGGGGGGCAACUCCCUGAGUAAAGCGGCGCACGGGUGAGUAACACGUGGGUAAUCUGCCCUGGAGUGGGGAAUAACACCGGGAAACCGGUGCUAAUACCGCAUACGAUCACAGAGUCUGCGGAUUUUGUGAUGAAAGGAGCAAUUCGCUCUAGGAGGAGCCCGCGGCUGAUUAGCUAGUUGGUGAGGUAAUGGCUCACCAAGGCUACGAUCAGUAUCCGGUCUGAGAGGACGGUCGGACACACUGGAACUGAGACACGGUCCAGACUCCUACGGGAGGCAGCAGUGGGGAAUUUUUGGCAAUGGGGGCAACCCUGACCAAGCAACGCCGCGUGGGUGAUGAAGUCUCUUGGGACGUAAAACCCUUUCGACGGGGAAGAAAACCGCAAGGUUUGACGGUACCCGUAGAAGAAGCCCCGGCUAACUCCGUGCCAGCAGCCGCGGUAAUACGGGGGGGGCAAGCGUUGUUCGGAAUUACUGGGCGUAAAGGGCGCGUAGGCGGUCCGCUAAGUUAGAUGUGAAAACUCUGGGCUCAACCCAGAGCCUGCAUCUAAUACUGACGGGCUAGAGUUCUGGAGGGGGUAGCGGAAUUCCUGGUGUAGCGGUGAAAUGCGUAGAUAUCAGGAGGAACACCGGUGGCGAAGGCGGCUACCUGGACAGAAACUGACGCUGAGGCGCGAAAGCUAGGGGAGCAAACAGGAUUAGAUACCCUAGUAGUCC
Molecule: ribosomal RNA, 784 nt
Filed under: uncultured bacterium
Lineage: Bacteria
Description: bacterial SSU rRNA
Rfam family: Bacterial small subunit ribosomal RNA
Source: RNAcentral